GAGAUACAUGUAGUGGUGUGGUAGUCCUCGACCAAUCCCCAUUGCAAUGUAUCAUUGCAGCCCUUGCAAGAUUUUCCUAAUGAAGAUUCUCAGGAUUACAGAUCCUCUAGCAAGGAGACCAGACAGAUAGAAAUGACCAGAGCAGAGGACACACAGCUCCCCCC
Molecule: long non-coding RNA, 164 nt
Organism: Saccostrea cuccullata (small rock oyster)
Lineage: Eukaryota; Metazoa; Mollusca; Bivalvia; Ostreida; Ostreidae
Exons: 3
Source: RefSeq, a predicted model, not a curated record